AACUUAUAAUUCUGAUAGAGAAUUUUUCAUUUACACUGAAAGCGUCCUUGUGCAAUUCAGGGUUUGUUGAA
Molecule: transfer RNA, 71 nt
Filed under: Hetaerina pilula
Lineage: Eukaryota; Metazoa; Arthropoda; Insecta; Odonata; Calopterygidae
Description: tRNA-Val
Source: RNAcentral